Molecule: RNA transcript, 5006 nt
Organism: Strigops habroptila (Kakapo)
Lineage: Eukaryota; Metazoa; Chordata; Aves; Psittaciformes; Psittacidae
Gene: CSNK1G1
Gene name: casein kinase 1 gamma 1
Exons: 15
Source: RefSeq, a predicted model, not a curated record
GGGGCGAGGGGCUGAGCGCUUCCGGGUCGGGGCCCUCCCCGUCGAGCGCGGCGGAGGGAGGAGCCGCGGCGGGGCGCGGGGAGAGCAGCGGCGGGGCCCGGCCCAGCCCAGCCCGGCGCAGCCCGGCCGCCUGCCGAGCCCAGCGCCGCCGGAGCCAGAUUCACCACAGAUAUGCCUGGCCGGCUGCUCUGGUGUUCCUGUGCCUCAGCACUUACUGCCCUGUGAUUGCAGAUAACAAACAUAAGAAGUGAGUUACAAAACUGGGGUAAGAAACCAAAAGCAACCUGCCUUUAUUGAGUUCUCAAGAACAUAAUUGACCCCUUGGUACAUUAUCAAGAUGCAUUAAGGAACUGGAUACAGUGCCAAAAGAACUCCAUGCGUUUCCAUGACUCUCUUGAACCCUGAGUCAGAUACUUUUGGAUAUAUAUUUCUGUUCUAAGGAGAAGAGUGUGUAUUCCAACUCCUUUCUGCCAGCUUGCUGGCAGAGAGAUUUCACUAAGAUCAUGGACCAUCCUAAUAGGGAAAAGGAUGAAAGGCAGCGGACGACGAAAGGAAUGCCGGGAAGGAGUGGGCACGGUUCUCGACCAAGCUCAUCGGCAUCUUCUGGCGUUCUGAUGGUGGGACCCAACUUCAGAGUGGGCAAGAAGAUUGGGUGUGGGAACUUUGGAGAGCUCAGACUAGGUAAAAAUCUCUACACCAACGAAUAUGUAGCGAUCAAACUGGAACCAAUAAAAUCACGUGCACCACAGCUUCAUUUAGAAUACAGGUUUUAUAAACAACUUGGAAGUGCGGCUGAAGGGCUUCCCCAGGUGUAUUACUUCGGACCGUGUGGAAAGUACAACGCCAUGGUACUAGAGCUGCUUGGUCCUAGCUUGGAAGAUCUAUUUGACCUCUGUGAUAGGACGUUCACUUUGAAGACGGUAUUAAUGAUAGCCAUCCAGCUGAUAUCUCGCAUGGAGUACGUGCAUUCGAAGAACCUCAUCUACCGAGAUGUCAAGCCCGAAAACUUCCUUAUCGGCCGGCAAGGCAACAAGAAAGAGCAUGUCAUUCACAUCAUAGACUUUGGAUUGGCAAAGGAGUACAUUGACCCGGAAACCAAAAAACACAUACCUUACAGGGAACACAAGAGCUUAACUGGAACAGCCAGAUACAUGUCCAUCAACACUCAUCUUGGCAAAGAGCAAAGUCGUCGAGAUGACUUGGAAGCCCUUGGCCAUAUGUUCAUGUAUUUCCUCCGAGGCAGUCUGCCCUGGCAAGGAUUGAAGGCUGACACCUUAAAAGAGAGGUAUCAGAAGAUUGGGGACACAAAGAGAAACACUCCAGUUGAAGUUCUCUGUGAGAACUUUCCAGAGGAGAUGGCCACGUACCUCCGCUACGUGCGGCGGUUGGACUUCUUUGAGAGACCAGACUACGAUUAUUUACGAACCAUCUUCACAGAGCUGUUUGAAAAGAAAGGCUACACCUUUGACUACGCCUAUGACUGGGUUGGCAGGCCAAUUCCUACUCCAGUGGGAUCUGUUCAUGUAGAUUCUGGGACAUCUGCAAUAACAAGAGACAGCCACAUCCACAGGGAUCGGCCAUCACAACAGGCCCUUCGCAAUCAGAAAACUAAAAAGCCCCCAACCCUCCCUCCAGUCAUGCCGGUGUGGCAGAUGUUUCCUUCUGCAGUGGACAGGUGUCAUCGGAUCGCCGAGGGGAGUGGGAGAUCCAGCCAAGCCGGCAGACCAAUACCUCGUACCUGACAUCUCAUUUGGCUGCAGAUCGGCAUGGAGGAUCAGUACAGGUGGUCAGUUCAACCAACGGGGAGCUGAACGUGGACGACCCGACAGGGGCACACUCCAACGCGCCAAUAACAGCGCAGGCAGAGGUGGAGGUGGUGGAAGAGGCUAAGUGCUGCUGCUUCUUUAAGAGGAAACGGAAGAAGACGGCUCAGCGUCACAAGUGACCAGUGCCUCCUGGGCCUUGCAGGAACCACCUCGCCUGCAGCUCCUGCCUGUCUCAUUGGAAGGGGCUUCUUUUUAGGGGGGAGGAGGAGGCAGAGGAGGAAGAGAGAAAAACGUUUAAAAAAAAAAAAAAAAAAAAAGUGACUUUUUAAACCAAAAAGAGAAGAAAACGUUCCAAAACAAACCACUCUGGGGUGGAUCUGCUGAAUGGUCUCCCUCGUUCACUCCAAGCCUGAAGCUCCUUUUGGGACCAGGACUGUGGCUGGCUCAGGUCUUGGUCGCCCUGGGAGGGGGGCUGGCUGGCUGACCCUCCUUCCCGUUGUUUACGGCGAAGGCAUCGUUCACGCAAACCUGAGGACUGUGCUUAGUUCCUGCUCACUUUCCUCCCUCCCUCCCCUGCGCCCUCUGCUCCUCCAUCCUCCUCUCUCCUUAAUCCAGCAAAGAAAUACCGUAGGCUGUCGAGAGGGCAGGAGGAUGCAGUGGGAGAAGGGCCUGACUGCUGCAACAGUAAGAGACAGGUUCCCUUUUGGGCUCCUUGGGAACAGUUACACUGUAAUGUGCAAGCUGUGAGAAAUUUGCAAUCUACUGUUCCAGUUAGGGUUUUUUGUUUCCGGCUCCCCUGACACCUCCCUCCUCUGACGGUAACAGAGCAACGUGGAUUGUUUUAAAGAAGCUGACGUCAUUGCACUUUUUAUUAUGUUUAGCAUUUACAGAUGCACAUUGUAUCUGUGGAUCCCUGCGCGGCGCCGGCGUAGACAGACAUUCAGCGGGGAAGACGGAGGGGUGGAAAGAAAGCCCUCAAGUGGGGAUGUCAACGACAUCCGCACGACCCUCGUGCCAGUCUGGGGUUCCCGACGCCCGCCUUGGGGCUUGGAAAGCAUACUUGAAUUUUCAGUCACCCUUCCUCGCUGCCGGUGAAUGUCCCUACCAUGGUUUCCUACACGCAACUGGCUGGGAGACACAAAGCUGUAGCCCAGUGUUGGCAGAAGGGAGCAGCGUUGGUUUUGCUGAGCCGGAGGAGUUUGUGCUGGCUUAAGAGGUAGAGCUGGAUUAAGGUAACUGGGAGGCAGCUGUUUCCCAAAGCACAGAUGUUUCCCAGUGUGGGUAACCGGGCAGCCUCCUCAGAUCCCUCUGGUAGGGUGGUUGUGAGCACAUACCUUCUGUGAGAAAACGUUAGCAGGAGCAAAGCUUCCCCAGCAGGGGAGAGGACACUUCAUGCCUUAACACUGAUUUCAUCUCCAGAUGGUCAGAUAGGUUUGACUGGAAUCGCCUUCAUGUCCUCCCUGCAAGCGUGGGUCUGGGGCCUGUGGCAGGCCAUCCCACCCCACAGGAGAAGCCACGGUUCUCAUGCACCACUUUGGAGCCAAACCAAUAGCUAGCAAAGGGCUCAGGGUGCUUUGCAUACGUGUUUUAUUUUGCACCCUGCUGCAGCUGAGGCUGCCCCGGGGUUACCAUGGAUGUGUCAGGGCUGUGGGAGAACUCGAGCAGCUCUUGGGAAGGUUGUGAAUAGGUUCCUUGUACUUUGUCUUUCCACAUGUGACACCUGACCAGGCUGCAACUGCUCACUUGAGGGACUUUGUUUGUCAUAAACUCGGCCCUGGCUCACCUCCAAAGUCCCAGAGAGCAUGAAGGGAGGACAGGGAGAGACUAGAUCUCACUAUCUUUUACUGGUUUUAAUGAUGAUCUGCAUAUCUUGGAGUUCAUGGAGCAGCACUCCCAGGAGGUUUGGUUCCCCUGGCUAGGCAGAAGCAGGCUUAGCGGGCAGGAGAUCAUCCUGGGCUUGCUCUUUCUGCAUCCCUGAAGCAGGCAGACACUGGUGUGGUGCUGGGGCAGAAAAGCCUCCUUGACAGGAUCUCCAUAGGGCGUCUCUUUGCCAUUCCCCACUGCGUUCUCUCCAUGCCUUAUCCCGACGAGUGCAGCUCAGAGGCACGGAGCCCUUUGCCCGUGCACCCACCAGGAGACACGUGAACGUUCUCACUCUGCAAAGCGCUUUCCUCAAGCCAUGGCCAGGGCAGGAAGGGGACCACUCACCUCCCGCAGGCGCUUCGCCCCUCAUCCCCUUCUGCCAGCGGGAGGACAGGACCAUGGCCACAUUCCACCCUCCUCUUUCCAAACUCCUCUGCUGCCAAUGGCUUCCAGAAGCCCCGUGUGUGGCACAGGCGCUGCCCUCUCUGCUGUAGGAAACCAUGGUUUGGUGACUUGGGAGGGGGGGAAAGGGGCACAGGCGUCCCCCGGGGAGAUGGAGCCAGGCCCUGAGACACUUCUGUUGCUGCCCUCCCAAGCCCCACUAAGUGCCUGUCACCAGAACUCGAUUCCUUCUGCAUCUCCUGCCGUGUUUGGUCAUUCCUCGCUGCCUCUGGUCAAGGAGCAGCUUGUAGUUGCAGCAUAUGUAAGUGUUUGCAGGGUGAGGGAGGGCGGGGGGGGGAAGGGGCCAUCUCAACAGGUUUUGUUCUUAAAUGUUUUUUUUUUGUUGUUCUUUUUUUUUGUUGUUGUUUCGGGGUUUUUUUUAAGUGAAUGUAUUUGAUUGUUUAGAAACUUUCCUGACCUUGUUUUUAAGUGGGUCGGUUUGAAAGCUGUUUCACAAUGACCCGCUCCCACUUCUCUCUGGAGAUACGAUGUUCUUUUAAUCCUACGAUGAUGUGUUUGUAGGGGAGGACUGUCCCCCCACGGCAUGCUGGUAAUGCUCACUUGUACCAAGCCCUCUUGCACUAGAAUCGUACGUUGGACUCUUCAAAAGGGCAAAGAUGUGGGGUGGCUUCAUUAACAAAAGGAAACUAAAGCGGGUUAACAGCAAGUGCUUGAGGAAGCCGCUGGCCCCAGGGAGCUCGAGGUGACCAGGAGACACAAGCCAGACUGAGCCAGCCGUGCUGUGGUAGGAGCAGGGCAUUCAGCCUACCUGGGCCACCUCUCUUUUCCUCACCAGAGGUCAUCAGCACUGGGGACCCCAUGGGAGCGAGGAGGAGCUCCCCGCGUGUGGCCCUCCAACGCUGCGAUGCAGUCUUCUGAGGUAUCAAGUGAGAUGAUUAUUAUUUUUUUUUUUCAAUAAAACAUUGCACUGCUGCA